RNAcentral lists this ribosomal RNA (386 nucleotides) under uncultured bacterium. Its description in RNAcentral is "bacterial SSU rRNA". It matches the Rfam family "Bacterial small subunit ribosomal RNA", at positions 30 to 417 of the family's 1533-position model. The record is from RNAcentral.
AUUGAACGCUGGCGGCAUGCCUUACACAUGCAAGUCGAACGGCAGCACGGGAGCAAUCCUGGUGGCGAGUGGCGAACGGGUGAGUAAUAUAUCGGAACGUGCCCAGUCGUGGGGAUAACGUAGCGAAAGCUACGCUAAUACCGCAUACGAUCUAUGGAUGAAAGCGGGGGAUCGCAAGACCUCGCGCGAUUGGAGCGGCCGAUAUCAGAUUAGGUAGUUGGUGAGGUAAAGGCUCACCAAGCCGACGAUCUGUAGCUGGUCUGAGAGGACGACCAGCCACACUGGGACUGAGACACGGCCCAGACUCCUACGGGAGGCAGCAGUGGGGAAUAUUGGACAAUGGGCGAAAGCCUGAUCCAGCAAUGCCGCGUGAGUGAUGAAGGCCU